GGGUUGUGAGGUUAAGCGACUAAGCGUACACGGUGGAUGCCCUGGCAGUCAGAGGCGAUGAAGGACGUGCUAAUCUGCGAAAAGCGUCGGUAAGGUGAUAUGAACCGUUAUAGCCGGCGAUGUCCGAAUGGGGAAACCCAGUGCAAUUCGUUGCACUAUCGUUAACUGAAUACAUAGGUUAACGAGGCGAACCGGGGGAACUGAAACAUCUAAGUACCCCGAGGAAAAGAAAUCAACCGAGAUUCCCCCAGUAGCGGCGAGCGAACGGGGAGCAGCCCAGAGUCUGAAUCAGCUUGUGUGUUAGUGGAACGGUCUGGAAAGUCCGACGGUACAGGGUGAUAGUCCCGUACACCAAAAUGCACAGGCUGUGAACUCGAAGAGUAGGGCGGGACACGUGGUAUCCUGUCUGAAUAUGGGGGGACCAUCCUCCAAGGCUAAAUACUCCUGACUGACCGAUAGUGAACCAGUACCGUGAGGGAAAGGCGAAAAGAACCCCGGCGAGGGGAGUGAAAAAGAACCUGAAACCGUGUACGUACAAGCAGUGGGAGCACCUUCGGGUGUGACUGCGUACCUUUUGUAUAAUGGGUCAGCGACUUAUAUUCUGUAGCAAGGUUAACCGUAUAGGGGAGCCGCAGGGAAACCGAGUCUUAACUGGGCGUUAAGUUGCAGGGUAUAGACCCGAAACCCGGUGAUCUAGCCAUGGGCAGGUUGAAGGUUGGGUAACACUAACUGGAGGACCGAACCGACUAAUGUUGAAAAAUUAGCGGAUGACUUGUGGCUGGGGGUGAAAGGCCAAUCAAACCGGGAGAUAGCUGGUUCUCCCCGAAAGCUAUUUAGGUAGCGCCUCGUGAAUUCAUCUUCGGGGGUAGAGCACUGUUUCGGCUAGGGGGUCAUCCCGACUUACCAACCCGAUGCAAACUACGAAUACCGAAGAAUGUUAUCACGGGAGACACACGGCGGGUGCUAACGUCCGUCGUGAAGAGGGAAACAACCCAGACCGCCAGCUAAGGUCCCAAAGUCAUGGUUAAGUGGGAAACGAUGUGGGAAGGCACAGACAGCCAGGAUGUUGGCUUAGAAGCAGCCAUCAUUUAAAGAAAGCGUAAUAGCUCACUGGUCGAGUCGGCCUGCGCGGAAGAUGUAACGGGGCUAAACCAUGCACCGAAGCUGCGGCAGCGACACUAUGUGUUGUUGGGUAGGGGAGCGUUCUGUAAGCCUGCGAAGGUGUGCUGUGAGGCAUGCUGGAGGUAUCAGAAGUGCGAAUGCUGACAUAAGUAACGAUAAAGCGGGUGAAAAGCCCGCUCGCCGGAAGACCAAGGGUUCCUGUCCAACGUUAAUCGGGGCAGGGUGAGUCGACCCCUAAGGCGAGGCCGAAAGGCGUAGUCGAUGGGAAACAGGUUAAUAUUCCUGUACUUGGUGUUACUGCGAAGGGGGGACGGAGAAGGCUAUGUUAGCCGGGCGACGGUUGUCCCGGUUUAAGCAUGUAGGCUGGUUGUCCAGGCAAAUCCGGAUAAUCAAGGCUGAGGUGUGAUGACGAGGCACUACGGUGCUGAAGUAACAAAUGCCCUGCUUCCAGGAAAAGCCUCUAAGCAUCAGGUAACAUCAAAUCGUACCCCAAACCGACACAGGUGGUCAGGUAGAGAAUACCAAGGCGCUUGAGAGAACUCGGGUGAAGGAACUAGGCAAAAUGGUGCCGUAACUUCGGGAGAAGGCACGCUGGUGUGUAGGUGAAGUCCCUGCGGAUGGAGCUGAGACCAGUCGAAGAUACCAGCUGGCUGCAACUGUUUAUUAAAAACACAGCACUGUGCAAACACGAAAGUGGACGUAUACGGUGUGACGCCUGCCCGGUGCCGGAAGGUUAAUUGAUGGGGUUAUCCGUAAGGAGAAGCUCUUGAUCGAAGCCCCGGUAAACGGCGGCCGUAACUAUAACGGUCCUAAGGUAGCGAAAUUCCUUGUCGGGUAAGUUCCGACCUGCACGAAUGGCGUAAUGAUGGCCAGGCUGUCUCCACCCGAGACUCAGUGAAAUUGAACUCGCUGUGAAGAUGCAGUGUACCCGCGGCAAGACGGAAAGACCCCGUGAACCUUUACUAUAGCUUGACACUGAACAUUGAGCCUUGAUGUGUAGGAUAGGUGGGAGGCUUUGAAGCGUGGACGCCAGUCUGCGUGGAGCCAACCUUGAAAUACCACCCUUUAAUGUUUGAUGUUCUAACGUUGGCCCCUUACCGGGGUUGCGGACAGUGUCUGGUGGGUAGUUUGACUGGGGCGGUCUCCUCCCAAAGCGUAACGGAGGAGCACGAAGGUUAGCUAAUCCUGGUCGGACAUCAGGAGGUUAGUGCAAUGGCAUAAGCUAGCUUGACUGCGAGCGUGACGGCGCGAGCAGGUGCGAAAGCAGGUCAUAGUGAUCCGGUGGUUCUGAAUGGAAGGGCCAUCGCUCAACGGAUAAAAGGUACUCCGGGGAUAACAGGCUGAUACCGCCCAAGAGUUCAUAUCGACGGCGGUGUUUGGCACCUCGAUGUCGGCUCAUCACAUCCUGGGGCUGAAGUAGGUCCCAAGGGUAUGGCUGUUCGCCAUUUAAAGUGGUACGCGAGCUGGGUUUAGAACGUCGUGAGACAGUUCGGUCCCUAUCUGCCGUGGGCGCUGGAGAAUUGAGGGGGGCUGCUCCUAGUACGAGAGGACCGGAGUGGACGCAUCACUGGUGUUCGGGUUGUCAUGCCAAUGGCACUGCCCGGUAGCUAAAUGCGGAAGAGAUAAGUGCUGAAAGCAUCUAAGCACGAAACUUGCCCCGAGAUGAGUUCUCCCUGAGACUUUAAGUCUCCUGAAGGAACGUUGAAGACGACGACGUUGAUAGGCCGGGUGUGUAAGCGCAGCGAUGCGUUGAGCUAACCGGUACUAAUGAACCGUGAGGCUUAACCUUACAACGCCGAAG
Molecule: ribosomal RNA, 2923 nt
Filed under: Klebsiella pneumoniae
Lineage: Bacteria; Pseudomonadati; Pseudomonadota; Gammaproteobacteria; Enterobacterales; Enterobacteriaceae
Description: 23S ribosomal RNA
Rfam family: Bacterial large subunit ribosomal RNA
Source: RNAcentral